Molecule: transfer RNA, 82 nt
Filed under: Marmota monax (woodchuck)
Lineage: Eukaryota; Metazoa; Chordata; Mammalia; Rodentia; Sciuridae
Description: tRNA.Pro
Source: RNAcentral
UGGGGUUUUGGCUCAGUGGUAGAACGCUAGCCUCGGCCUUACAGGACGUGCGAGACCCUGAGUUCGAUCCUCAGCACCACAU